Molecule: non-coding RNA, 311 nt
Organism: Arachis ipaensis
Lineage: Eukaryota; Viridiplantae; Streptophyta; Magnoliopsida; Fabales; Fabaceae
Source: RefSeq, a predicted model, not a curated record
GUCAUUUUUUGAAAUCUAAACCUUGUCCUCUACAAAAACUCUGAAGAGGAAAUCGCGAAACCGUCUAGAGUAUAGCCUUGGAUCGACGGCGGAGAUGGAGGUGGGAUCGUACUGGAACGAUUUAUUCAGCUCGUGCUGGCAUGCUUAUUCCUAAGUGAAUCCACCUAAUACAAGACAAGUAAUGCAAAUAUUUUCAGACAAGUUACCGAUUAGGAUCUGUUGCAAGGGGAUCGACGUCCACUCCAAAAAGGCGAAGGGCUCCAUCAUCGAAAUUAUUACCACUCCCUACAACACAGCUUGAUGUAUUUAGG